RNAcentral lists this long non-coding RNA (243 nucleotides) under Phaseolus vulgaris (common bean). RNAcentral's name for it is "long non-coding RNA (PVUL_LNC004986)". The record is from RNAcentral. Lineage: Eukaryota; Viridiplantae; Streptophyta; Magnoliopsida; Fabales; Fabaceae.
CCACUCGGGGGGUUUCCCAAGACUUCCUGCAUCACCACCACCGCCAACCUCUGCUGCUACUGCUGAAGGUGGUGAGGCCAGCUCGCAGCCAAACAGCUCUGGUGCUAGCAAUGAAAACUUCAGUCGAGUCAUUGCCUUGGUUCGACAUUUCAUACGCAGCCGGGAGCUUCUCGAAUGGAGUGGGCAAGAGGUGGACAUGCACUUGGCCAAGCAGAUAGUGCUUUCCCUAGAGUUUUCCACCCA